This is an RNA transcript of Juglans regia (Persian walnut), 1515 nucleotides long. It is a transcript of the gene named protein RADIALIS-like 5, with no coding region annotated. The transcript is spliced from 2 exons. The record is from RefSeq and is a predicted model, not a curated record. NCBI's taxonomy places the organism in Eukaryota, Viridiplantae, Streptophyta, Magnoliopsida, Fagales, Juglandaceae.
UUCAGUCACCUUCCUUGACUGAAACAAACCAUUCUAUUAUCUCCUUCCCUUUUGUGGGAUUCACUCUAGCCAGCCAGCCGGUACUUUACCAUUCACAUUUAAAGGUUCCGACUUCCAACCUAUUUCCUGACUUUGUUAUCCUCCAGAGCCUGUCAAAAUAAUACCCCUUUUACCUUCUGCAGUUUCACCAUUUUCAGGUAGUGUAUUAAAACAUAUAUCCUCCAAUGGCAUCCAACUCUCUUGCUUCUUCACGUACCUCUAGCUCCUCUUGGACCCCUGAGGAGAACAAAAGGUUUGAAAGGGCCCUGGCUGUUUAUGAUAAGGACACCCCUGAUCGCUGGCAGAAGGUUGCCAGAGCUGUGGGCGGAAAAUCUGUAGAGGAGGUGAAGAGGCAAUAUGAGAUUCUCAUUGAGGAUGUCAGGGACAUUGAAUCUGAUAGAGUCCCAAUUCCCGAAUACAGGUGAAAGAAAAUGUUAAGUAAGGCUAUGGCUUUGAGUAUGAAGAGUAGAGGUAAAUUCACUAGUAACUACUUGCCUUCUACUUAAUACCAGAGCCAAAUACUCGCUUUGCACUUCAGUUUUCAAAACUGCCUUCCACAUGUAUCUCUCUCACUUUUACAUUUCAGCUCUAAGUAACCCAGUUAAACGUACAUCCCUACGUAGCUUGGGAAUAAAGAAUAAUGCUUUUGCUCUUGAGUCUGGCUUUUUCUAAAUCGUGAUCAAUGACAACAACUUCAUGUCACUUAUGCUUUCUUUUUUCUGAUUUUAUUGAUCAACCUUCGCUUUUGUCGGGGAAUACUUUUUACGAGUGAAAAGUUUGGGGUUACAAGAAAAUCCCAAAACCAAGGUUCGAAACAAUCUAAACAUAAAAUUAUACUGGAAGGAUGCUAUUCAUUCAAUAGAGACAUCGUUUAAAAAAUGAUAUGUCGGCAGCAAUGCAUUUUAAGCUUCUUCCAGGUCCUCUUAACCGUAGAAGAUCCAGUUAAUUCCUGCAACAUCAUGGCCUUGUCCUUAGAAUUAAGCAAUUCCUGCUGUAGGGCAAGGCAAUAAUACUAUGAACACUGAAGAGCUAGUUCUACGUACGUGGUCCAUCAAUUUCUCCAACUGACGAUAAGUCUAACAUCCUAUACACCAAACUGCUUAUUUUCACUUUAUUUAAUGAAAAAAAGCCAACGCCUGACCACAUUCAUGCAACUUCUUAUCCUGUCACUAAGCAGAAGAAACCCCACAUGAGAUAUGAUCCUACCAAUUCUGGAUAACAUGUCAAUGAAAGUCCAAUGCUCAUCAGUUCAAAGAACUGCCAUGAAACUUUUGUUAUUUUCCCCGUCCACUGUCCUCAGUCAUUCAGAACCAGUUCUUUCUGAACCCCUCUGAAACUUUUGGUUGCAGUACUGCUGCUUUAAUUGACAGCUUUUCUAGAGUUUGGAUGUUUUCUGACUUUCCCAUACUAUUCAUAACCUUUGCCAGAUUAAUAAUUGUUUUCCUUCAGGCUAAAACUACUUUUCAUUACUAUCUG